GGGACCUACCCGGUAGUGGGGGGAAACGUUCGGAACGGACGCUAAUACCGCAUACGUCCUACGGGAGAAAGCAGGGGACCUUCGGGCCUUGCGCUAUCAGAUGAGCCUAGGUCGGAUUAGCUAGUUGGUGAGGUAAUGGCUCACCAAGGCUACGAUCCGUAACUGGUCUGAGAGGAUGAUCAGUCACACUGGAACUGAGACACGGUCCAGACUCCUACGGGAGGCAGCAGUGGGGAAUAUUGGACAAUGGGCGAAAGCCUGAUCCAGCCAUGCCGCGUGUGUGAAGAAGGUCUUCGGAUUGUAAAGCACUUUAAGUUGGGAGGAAGGGCAUUAACCUAAUACGUUAGUGUUUUGACGUUACCGACAGAAUAAGCACCGGCUAACUCUGUGCCAGCAGCCGCGGUAAUACAGAGGGUGCAAGCGUUAAUCGGAAUUACUGGGCGUAAAGCGCGCGUAGGUGGUUUGUUAAGUUGAAUGUGAAAUCCCCGGGCUCAACCUGGGAACUGCAUCCAAAACUGGCAAGCUAGAGUAUGGUAGAGGGUAGUGGAAUUUCCUGUGUAGCGGUGAAAUGCGUAGAUAUAGGAAGGAACACCAGUGGCGAAGGCGACUACCUGGACUGAUACUGACACUGAGGUGCGAAAGCGUGGGGAGCAAAACAGGAUUAGAUACCCUGGUAGUCCACGCCGUAACGAUGUCAACUAAGCCGUUGGGAGUCUUGAACUCUUAGUGGCGCAGCUACGCAUUAAGUUGACCGCCUGGGGAGUACGGCCGCAAGGUUAAAACUCAAAUUGAAUUGACGGGGGCCCGCACAAGCGGGUGGAGCAUGUGGUUUUAUUCGAAGCCACCGCGGAAGAACCUUACUCAGGCUUGAACAUUCCAAUGAAGCUUUUCUAGAGAUAUGAUUGGGUGCCUUCGGGAACCAUGAAGACCAGGGUGCCUGCAUUGGCCUUGUACGUUCAGCUCCGUGUCC
Molecule: ribosomal RNA, 970 nt
Filed under: uncultured bacterium
Lineage: Bacteria
Description: bacterial SSU rRNA
Rfam family: Bacterial small subunit ribosomal RNA
Source: RNAcentral